GGUGAGUCUCCCUGGGCUCGUGCAGUCAUCUGCCGGGUAUCCGAGCCAUCCGUGGUCCCCGGGUCCCAGUACUUCAGCUAUAGGCACGCGAAGCCCGGUUGCUCUUCUCUGGCCAUUUCUGUCGGAGGAUGGUUGUCGAGGGGCUCGGGGCUGUUGGCAGGGAGACCGGGCUGGCGGGCUGCGCUGUAGACCCGGACACGCAGGGCUUCGGGCUCCAGCGCCUGGGCAGUUUAGGAGCUGUAGCGCUUGUUGACUUCGUGGAGUACGGUGGAUGGGGGUAGGGGGCGGGCGGGAUAGAUGGACACUGGGAGGUACAUCUCGUCUGCAGUUCCUCCUUGGGCUAGGUAGGCGGCUUGCAGGUGAUGGCAGUCCAAGAGGUGAAGAAGGUGCGGCAGCGCCUGGGCGAGUUGCGAACGACACCGUAACUAUCCGCACUAGAAAGUUCAUGACCAACCGACUACUUCAGAGGAAACAAAUGGUCAUUGAUGUCCUUCACCCCGGGAAGGCAACAGUGCCUAAGACAGAAAUUCGGGAAAAACUAGCCAAAAUGUACAAGACCACACCGGAUGUCAUCUUUGUAUUUGGAUUCAGAACUCAUUUUGGUGGUGGCAAGACAACUGGC
This 622-nucleotide small RNA is filed under the name Pongo abelii (Sumatran orangutan). RNAcentral describes it as "processed transcript". Lineage: Eukaryota; Metazoa; Chordata; Mammalia; Primates; Hominidae. The record is from RNAcentral.